AUUGAACGCUGGCGGCAUGCCUUACACAUGCAAGUCGAACGGUAACCGGUCUUCGGAUGCUGACGAGUGGCGAACGGGUGAGUAAUACAUCGGAACGUGCCCGAUCGUGGGGGAUAACGGAGCGAAAGCUUUGCUAAUACCGCAUACGAUCUACGGAUGAAAGCCGGGGACCGCAAGGCCUUGCGCGGACGGAGCGGCCGAUGGCAGAUUAGGUAGUUGGUGGGAUAAAAGCUUACCAAGCCGACGAUCUGUAGCUGGUCUGAGAGGACGACCAGCCACACUGGGACUGAGACACGGCCCAGACUCCUACGGGAGGCAGCAGUGGGGAAUUUUGGACAAUGGGCGAAAGCCUGAUCCAGCCAUGCCGCGUGCAGGAUGAAGGCCUUCGGGUUGUAAACUGCUUUUGUACGGAACGAAAAGACUCUUUCUAAUAAAGAGGGUCCAUGACGGUACCGUAAGAAUAAGCACCGGCUAACUACGUG
This 482-nucleotide ribosomal RNA is filed under the name uncultured bacterium. Its description in RNAcentral is "partial 16S ribosomal RNA". It matches the Rfam family "Bacterial small subunit ribosomal RNA", at positions 30 to 507 of the family's 1533-position model. The record is from RNAcentral.